UUCAACUGUGAAUUGGAAAUCUACCAACAUUUGAUCCCCCUUGGUAGAAAUUUAUUGGAGGUGAAAUUGUGCAACAGUUCCUCUAUGUUGCUCCUUUUGGAUGGCUAGCAAUGAAUCAAAAAAAUAUUUGCUAUUUAGAGCCGGAUAUCCCUCAGUAGCAGAAUUAAAUAUCACAAAACCUUAGUUACCUCAGUGAGAGGAGAAUGUGUUUAUUUGAAUGUCAAAUGGGGGCAGUCUGAGCCGGGUCUUGUGAACACUGGCAAUUUUGUCAUCCUUGUGAUACGAAGCUACUUAGUACUGUUGGGGUUACUCAUGUUUAAUCAUUGUCUCCAUUAGUUCGUGAUGUUUGUCGGCAUAGAGACUUUCUUGUUUUGUUGCUCCAGUUUCUUGGGGUCACUGGUGUACACUGGCUUUGCACUUGGUAGUUGGCACUACUUCUGCAGCUGACUGAAUAUACACUAAAGCUAUACAAAUUAGAUGUCGAAAUAGAUUUGACUUUCUACUUGCUCAUUCUGAAUGUAGUAGCAAGAGUUUCCCUUGUGUGCUUGAUUCUGGUGCAUCAGAUUGAACUGAGAUAGUUUAUUGUAUUGUAGUGUAGAGAUCAUUCACUACCAAAAUAUAGCGAGGAUGUUGUGGUUACAUAUAAUGUCACAAACAGUCA
This 661-nucleotide long non-coding RNA is filed under the name Phaseolus vulgaris (common bean). Its description in RNAcentral is "long non-coding RNA (PVUL_LNC000973)". The record is from RNAcentral. Lineage: Eukaryota; Viridiplantae; Streptophyta; Magnoliopsida; Fabales; Fabaceae.